GCAGGGAUAGCUCAGUUGGGAGAGCGUCAGACUGAAGAUCUAAAGGUCACGUGUUCGCUCCAUGUUCACCGCA
This is a transfer RNA of Ipomoea nil (Japanese morning glory), 73 nucleotides long. It matches the Rfam family "tRNA". From Rfam's summary of the family: Transfer RNA (tRNA) molecules are approximately 80 nucleotides in length. Lineage: Eukaryota; Viridiplantae; Streptophyta; Magnoliopsida; Solanales; Convolvulaceae. The record is from Rfam.